Hibiscus syriacus is the source of this 276-nucleotide long non-coding RNA. RefSeq lists it as uncharacterized. The transcript is spliced from 4 exons. The record is from RefSeq and is a predicted model, not a curated record. Lineage: Eukaryota; Viridiplantae; Streptophyta; Magnoliopsida; Malvales; Malvaceae.
GGUUUUUUCAUCCAGACGUUUCCACUUAUGAAUAUAUUUUCAUCUGGGAUGAAGACCUGGGAGUGGAACACUUCAAUUCAGAGAGAUACAUACAAUUGGUCAAGAAGCAUGGUCUGGAGAUCUGACAACCAGAAAUUGCAGGCAAACUAGGUUAUAGAGAUGUAUCAGAUCUUACCCCAACAGUGAUUGCAACAGAGGCAUUGGAACAGAUUGAAGUGUAUCUAAAGGAGGAAGGUGGCAUGGCUUUGAAGAAGCUAUAAAUAUGGUGAUUGAAUU